Molecule: regulatory RNA element, 107 nt
Organism: Bacillus cereus ATCC 14579
Lineage: Bacteria; Bacillati; Bacillota; Bacilli; Caryophanales; Bacillaceae
Rfam family: SAM riboswitch aptamer (S box leader)
About the family: The SAM riboswitch is found upstream of a number of genes which code for proteins involved in methionine or cysteine biosynthesis in Gram-positive bacteria.
Source: Rfam
UUCUUAUCCAGAGAGGUGGAGGGACUGGCCCUACGAUACCUCAGCAACGGGUUUUUUUAAUACCGUGCUAACUCCAGCAAGCCAUAUAAAGGCUUGGAAGAUGAGAA